RNAcentral lists this long non-coding RNA (1183 nucleotides) under Cavia porcellus (domestic guinea pig). RNAcentral describes it as "lncRNA (ENSCPOG00000031216.1)". The record is from RNAcentral. Lineage: Eukaryota; Metazoa; Chordata; Mammalia; Rodentia; Caviidae.
UAAAGAGCAAGAACCUAAAGUUUAAAUUUUGACAUCUUUCAGAUAUGACUCAGAAUUUAGAAAAUAAUGACUGGAAAAAAACUCUUGAAUCUAAUGAAGUUCUUGUGACAGAACAAAUUUCAGAUUUCAGAUUUGCAAAGGAACCAUUGUUUUGUGGAUGAAAAGGAAAGAUGCUAGACGAGAUGCUAUUCGUACGCCUGCUCUGCCUUAGGGACCGUGCUGCAUCUUCUUCACACAGACUGGGAACUACUCCAGGUUGUUCUGAGACUCUCUAAUGCAUUGAGAAGCAAACUAACAAAAGAGAAAGAAAAGUAAAGAAAUCAAGGAGAGCACAAAAACAGCAAGAAAACAAGACAGAUAGAAAGAAACAGAGGAAAACAUACGAGAAAGAAAAGACCAGCACCAUAUCUUGCAGCUGAUAGAUAGGUUGGCCAGGCUCUCUAACACUCAAGCUCAGCCCUCUCCUAUUCAACUACAGCCAGCCUCUUUCAACUUUGACAAAGCAGGAAGUGAUUGGAGUAAAAUCUCAAGAAGCCACUUUGUAAGGAUGGAGUGAUCUAAGUACAUGUUACAUUAGUGAAGACUACAGAAAAUGUAGUGAUUCCUCUUUUGCAAAUGGGCUGUUAUGUGGUAUUGAUGUGCUCAUUAUACUCAGGCAGAAUGCAAUUAAACCUUCAAUAGAAAAAUCAUUUUUCCUCUUCACCUCCUCUGAUAGUUAUUUGGGAAUCUACUUCUGUGAUGCCCUUUCAGUAACUUGGAGAAUGAGAUGUUCCUCUGUGAGGACUCACCGAGGCAAAGAGGAGACAUCCAGUCUUCCAGUGCAGCAUCCAACACAAAGGCAGGCUGAUAAUAAGAAUGUUAUGUGGUGUCCUCAUCCAAGGCUCCUCCUCCAUGUCAAAAUGACCAUGAAAGGUAAACAUUUUUGAUUGAUUCAGGACUUCAAGGCUAGCACGAUGGUGCAACUAAAGACAAGAAAAAGAGCUUCUGAUGCUUCCUAAAUUUUCUCCUACCACAAGACCCAGGAAGGGGCGUCUGCCACCUUCUGUCACUUCUGGUCUCACCUGGACUCAUCGUACACAGCAGACGGUCCUGUGAGAAAAAUGUAUCCUUCCACAGAAACCCUCAGGAUCAUUUCUGUGACCUUUUAAAAGUAACUCAGUUUUCAACAGAUUGCAAAAUGUCC